CUGCCUUGUGGAUGGGAAUAACAACGGGAAACCGGUGCUAAGUCCCAAUGUGCCGAGAGGUGAAAGGAGAAAUCUGCCAUAAGAGGAGCUCGCGUCCGAUUAGCUAGUUGGAGGAGUAAGAGCCCCCCAAGGCGACGAUCGGUAGCUGGUCUGAGAGGACGAGCAGCCACACUGGGACUGAGAAACGGCCCAGACUCCUACGGGAGGCAGCAGUGGGGAAUUUUCCGCAAUGGGCGAAAGCCUGACGGAGCAAGACCGCGUGUGGGAAGAAGGCCUUUGGGUCGUAAACCACUUUAAUCAGGGAAGAAGUCAGUGACGGUACCUGAAGAAAAAGCCUCGGCUAACUCCGUGCCAGCAGCCGCGGUAAUACGGAGGAGGCAAGCGUUAUCCGGAAUCAUUGGGCGUAAAGAGUCCGUUAGGUGGCCUCUGAAGUCUGCUGUCAAAGCCUUGGGCUAUACCGAAGAGAGGCAGUGCAAACUAGCAAGCUAGAGUGCGGUAGGGGUAGAGUGAAUUCCUGGUGUAGCGGUGAAAUGCGUAGAGAUCGCGAAGAACACCAGUGGCGAAUGUGCUCUACUGGGCCUGCACUGAUACUCCGGGACGAGUAGCUUCGACUGCGAAUGGGAUUAGA
Molecule: ribosomal RNA, 628 nt
Filed under: Desertifilaceae cyanobacterium C53
Lineage: Bacteria; Bacillati; Cyanobacteriota; Cyanophyceae; Desertifilales; Desertifilaceae
Description: bacterial SSU rRNA
Rfam family: Bacterial small subunit ribosomal RNA
Source: RNAcentral